This 368-nucleotide unclassified non-coding RNA is filed under the name soil metagenome. Its description in RNAcentral is "partial contains 5.8S ribosomal RNA, internal transcribed spacer 2, and large subunit ribosomal RNA". The stretch from base 1 to 120 matches the Rfam family "5.8S ribosomal RNA", at positions 35 to 154 of the family's 154-position model. The record is from RNAcentral.
GAUGAAGAACGCAGCGAAAUGCGAUAAGUAAUGUGAAUUGCAGAAUUCAGUGAACCAUCGAAUCUUUGAACGCACAUUGCGCCCGGCAGUAAUCUGCCGGGCAUGCCUGUCCGAGCGUCAUUUCUGCCCUCGAGCGAGUCCAGCAUCUAGGUGCUGGGCCCGCCCGGCGUUGGGGCACUACGGGAAGCCCUGUGCUGUCCCCCGUAGGCCCCGAAAUGAAGUGGCGGUCCUGCCGCGGCGCCCCCUGCGUAGUAUAACAGCUCGCUUCGGGACCCGGUGGAGGCCUGCCGUCAAACCUUACUCUCUAAGUUUGACCUCGGAUCAGGUAGGGUUACCCGCUGAACUUAAGCAUAUCAAUAGGCGGAGGA